Molecule: ribosomal RNA, 386 nt
Filed under: uncultured bacterium
Lineage: Bacteria
Description: bacterial SSU rRNA
Rfam family: Bacterial small subunit ribosomal RNA
Source: RNAcentral
ACCCAAUAGAUACCCUGGUAGUCCUAGCCCUAAACGAUGAAUACUUGGUGUCUGGAGGUUUAAUACUCCGGGUGCCGUCGCUAAAACGUUUUUAGUAUUCCGCCUGGGGAGGUACGUACGCAAGUAUGAAACUCAAAGGAAAUUGACGGGGACCCGGCACAAGCGGUGGAGCAUGUGGUUUAAUUCGACGCAACGCGAAGAACCUUACCUGAGCUAGAAUGUGAGGGAAUGUUGGGUAAUGCCAACAGCCAGGUUACUGGUCCAAAACAAGGUGCUGCAUGGCUGUCGUCAGCUCGUGUCGUGAGAUGUUGGGUUAAGUCCCGCAACGAGCGCAACCCCGUAUUGAUAGUUGCUAACAUUAAGCUGAGAACUCUAUCAAGACCGCC